Long non-coding RNA from Phyllostomus hastatus (greater spear-nosed bat), 733 nucleotides. RefSeq lists it as uncharacterized. Lineage: Eukaryota; Metazoa; Chordata; Mammalia; Chiroptera; Phyllostomidae. The record is from RefSeq and is a predicted model, not a curated record. The transcript has 4 exons.
GGACGCGCACACGGACGGCCCGCCUAGCCCCGAAGGCGGGGGUAGGGUUGGCAAAGAGAAUCAAUCGGCUCCAUGGAGAAGAUCACCCUCCAGUCGCAUGAGGUGCUCACGGCACAGAAGGAACAGCCUGAGACGAUGACUCAAAGAAGACGUAAGAGACCGUUCCUGCUCUAGGGAAGCAGGGGUCAGGUGGUUGUUGUUUUUUUUUUAAACAACUUUCAGGGGGUUUCCAAGAAAGAGGAGUGCCAACAGGCAUGCACAGGGCCAGAGCCGUGAGAAAGCCACUCCUGCCUGCCAGGCAGAUGAGAGCAAUCCCGGACGGGUCGCCCUUGCCGGUCAGCUGGCAACCACUGUGGUUUUCAGGUCGAUACCAGAAUCGAAUGGGAGGACAGAUGAGAAAGCCAUCUGAAACACAGGCAUGCUAGCGCGGUACGGAAGCCUGAGGCCCUAUCAGCAGAGACUGCACAGUCCUGGAAAACCCUGCCUGCCCGGUGCAGCAGACUCCUUGCCUUUCUGCAAUCAUGCCUCAGCUGCCGGCAUGUCUGCUGCCACAGCCCCGCAGCCUGGGAGGGGGCCCCACUCCCCGGGGCUUCGUGUGGCAGGUGGCUCAUUCUCCAGGCCUCCCCAGGGCUCUGGCCACCAGGUUCUCAUGCCAAGAAGGAGAAGGCCUUAGAAGCCCUGGCUGGUGUGGCUCAGUGGAUUGAGCGCUGGCCUGUGAACCAGAAGGUCGCCA